RNAcentral lists this long non-coding RNA (1281 nucleotides) under Homo sapiens (human). RNAcentral's name for it is "HSALNT0168055". Lineage: Eukaryota; Metazoa; Chordata; Mammalia; Primates; Hominidae. The record is from RNAcentral.
GUGGGGAAACCUGGAGGGAAAAAUGGAACUGAUCAGGUGCAUUUCAAUUGGGCCGUGGUAUUUUAGGCAACACCUCUGCUGGAGAGGUUGUUGCCUGCAAAACCGGAUGAAGGCAGUGCUGUCAGGGCUUGGUGCUCCGUGAACAGCCACCUGGGGUCUGCACGUGUCUUCUGCCUCCACCCACCCCCGCUCAAACCCCCUUCCCAGCACCUCCCUCUCUGCAAGGUUCCGGAGUGGCCACCCACAGAGCAGCUCUGGGCUGGGCGCUGAGUCAUGAGGCUGUGGUGCCUGCCAGGGGGCGAGGGUGGCAGAUGGCUUCAUGUGGGCGUGAGUGAGGAGGGGGGCAGAUGGGAGGGGCAGUGACCCUGGGCCCAGCAGAGAUCCAGGGAAGUGGCCUGGGAGUUCUGGGGCCAGCAUUGAACGCAAGGUGUCAGCAAGUCUCCUGCCAGAGGUCCUGACGGAGGGGCUGUUCCAGGCCAUGCUCCUGGCUUCCGGUGGUUGCCGGCAACCCUGUGCAUUCCCUGCUUGUAGAGAUGAGAAAAUGGAGGUACCAAAAAGUGGGCUCUGAACUGCAGAGCCUGGCUCCAGAGCCCUUGUAUUUGACUACUGGGAUCCACCGUUAUUCUCACAGCCGCGUUUCCCACAGGGCUGCUUUGUAUGGCCUCUUAGAAAAGUCCUGCCUGUCUCCACCAUCCAGACUAUGAUGUCCGUGAGGUCAGAGGAAAGGGAGAAUGUCUCACAUACAGAAAAUGCUUGAUCAACAUUGAUGGAAUCAUAAAUGGGCCUCAGCGGCACCUGUCCUGAGUCAGCAUCUCACAGAGGUUUUGCCAGCGCCAGCCACAUCUCCAGCAUGAAGGUCCUCUUAUCUGCAGAUCUCAAAGCACUGAAAAGCUCAGAUAUUGUUUGUGGAGUGAGAAUUUGCCUGGACCAAGAGCUCUGCAGCCCAAGUCAAGACCAGCUGAAGCCCUCUUGCUCACAACUGGGGCUCACACACUCGCUACCUUACUCACCCAGGCCUGGGGGCCUGGCUUUGUCCCUGCCACGCCCCUGCUCAGCCACAGACACUGAGAGCCAUAGUCUUUGUCACUCAAGACCAAUUCAGCCAAUGGCCAGAGCACCUAAGGGGGCUCCCCACCCCUGUAAGUGUCCCACUUGGUGGGCCAGGCUAGGAAUGUGGGCAGAUGGGAGGAACCCUGGCUUGAGAUCCAGUAGGCCUUGAUUCUCAAAGCUGGCCACUUAUUGGAUUGAUGUAGCCCUUCUCCCACCCAGGCCUCUAUGUCC